RNAcentral lists this ribosomal RNA (564 nucleotides) under Triticum aestivum (bread wheat). RNAcentral's name for it is "partial small subunit ribosomal RNA". The record is from RNAcentral. Lineage: Eukaryota; Viridiplantae; Streptophyta; Magnoliopsida; Poales; Poaceae.
AUGGCUUCAUCCGGUUCCAGGACGAGGCCGCUGUGCGCGGACCAAGAGGACAUGCCGAAGACGUGGAUGGAGGCGAGUUUGGACAAGGAGAAGGAGAAGGAUGUGCCCACACCAACAUGUUGGUGUGCUGAUGUUUGCAAGCUGAAGGUGUCCACUGACCGCAACAAGUCAUGGACGGAAGGUAGAAGGUUUUUCGUGUGUCCCAACUAUGCACAUGAUCGUCGAAGGCCAACUAACGCAUAUGACAUACCACCGUCCCCUCCUCCACUUUGCAAGUACUUCACUUGGAUAGAUCACGAGGUACCAAAAGAUGUCCAAGAGGACCAACGUCAAGAUUGGUUACGGAGGCAGCGCCGAUUCGAGGAGUCCUAUGCACGGGGAUUGGAGCGGGAGCGUCGUGAGAAGGAGGCUCGUGAGCGCAAGAAGCGUGAGGAAGAGAGGGCACGCAAAGAGAAGGAGGCUCGUCAACAAGAGAGGGCAAGAAAACUUGCAAGGGCUCGCGAUGCACGAGAGGAGGACGAGGCACGUGACAAGAAGGGAAAGUGGCCCCGUAAUACUCAGUAG